AAAUUGAAGAGUUUGAUCAUGGCUCAGAUUGAACGCUGGCGGCAGGCCUAACACAUGCAAGUCGAACGGUAACAGGAAGCAGCUUGCUGCUUCGCUGACGAGUGGCGGACGGGUGAGUAAUGUCUGGGAAGCUGCCUGAUGGAGGGGGAUAACUACUGGAAACGGUGGCUAAUACCGCAUAACGUCGCAAGACCAAAGAGGGGGACCUUCGGGCCUCUUGCCAUCAGAUGUGCCCAGAUGGG
This 242-nucleotide ribosomal RNA is filed under the name Salmonella enterica. Its description in RNAcentral is "partial 16S ribosomal RNA". It matches the Rfam family "Bacterial small subunit ribosomal RNA", at positions 1 to 239 of the family's 1533-position model. The record is from RNAcentral. Lineage: Bacteria; Pseudomonadati; Pseudomonadota; Gammaproteobacteria; Enterobacterales; Enterobacteriaceae.